RNAcentral lists this ribosomal RNA (207 nucleotides) under uncultured bacterium. RNAcentral's name for it is "partial 16S ribosomal RNA". It matches the Rfam family "Bacterial small subunit ribosomal RNA", at positions 568 to 774 of the family's 1533-position model. The record is from RNAcentral.
CGCGUAGGCGGUUUCGGAAGUUAUGGGUGAAAGCCCCCGGCUCAACUGGGGAAUUGCCUGUAAAACCACGGAUCUGGAGUGCUGGAGAGGGAAGUGGAAUUCCCAGUGUAGCGGUGAAAUGCGUAGAUAUUGGGAGGAACACCAGUGACGAAGGCGGCUUCCUGGACAGACACUGACGCUGAGGCGCGGAAGCCAGGGGAACGAACG